Molecule: long non-coding RNA, 1930 nt
Organism: Mauremys mutica (yellowpond turtle)
Lineage: Eukaryota; Metazoa; Chordata; Testudines; Geoemydidae
Exons: 4
Source: RefSeq, a predicted model, not a curated record
GGAGUUGGAUGGAUCAAACCUGCUAGCCAGAUGGUAAGAGGCGCUGUGCUACGAAGUUCUGUGACAUCGAGACGGCCAUACUACUGGGGGUUAGUGGUCAAGGCAAGCAGUGUGCAUUGGCUAAUAUCUGAUCUGAGUUGUCAUGGUCACCGUGGGCUCACAGCCAGGGGAAGUGAUGGAAUGAGGUCGCAAUCACUGAAUCCAAGGAGGGGUCUGCAUGGUCCACCUUUCAGCAGUGCACUCUCAACACUUUUCCUGGAGCAAUUGAACACAUAUGGGAGAUUGCUCAUCUUGACUGAGUCUUGGAAGGUGUCCCUAGUUCUCAUGAUGGCAGCAGAAAGAAUGGAGAGAUGAAGAGGCCAGAUUUCCCUUCAAGAAUUGAGGCCAUGUUUAAUAUUGCAGCAAUGGAAUCUUUAGAAGAGAACAUGAGCUCUUUGGUGUGAUUUCAAAUCUGCUUUUUGGCAACAAAUCCACAUGCAAUGCUAAUCGAGCUCCAGAGCUGCCUGCGCUGGAUGACACAGCAGAAAGUGAAAGAGCUGACGGGCAAGUAAGAGCAAGAGGGAACUGGCCUUUCCAAUCCAUUUCUCCACUAGGAGAAGGCACAGAAACACAAGGUUCCUGAGAAUCUCUCGCCAGAGUAUAAUUUUCAUUAAUCGCAGUGUAAUUAUAUAAUCACUUAAGCAAAUGCUGCUUGAAUCCUCUCAGUGCACUGAUAUUUAGAGAGUGCCGACGAGAUGCCAAUGCAAAUAUAUUCAACUCUGGUACAUGCAUUCUGAUGCUGUGGAAGCAUGGCCUGCCCCAUCACAAUGUCAGUGGGCAGCCACAGAACAAAUUCCACUCCUAGUUACUUUCUGCUGGGAGUCUUGAUUACUGGGAGGCCCACUGGGAAGGUGCAUAUGUUUGUGAUUUGGGGUGUGAUGGGAGACAGCACCAUCUACAUGAUAGGUCACAGGGCUAGUAGCCAGAAGUAGAGCUGAUCAAAAACGGUUUUUAUCUUCCACACACAAAAAAUGGAAGAAAAUAAACAUUGAAUGUUUUGGUUUUCAAUUCUUUUGUGAAAACUUUCAACAAAUUCUCACAAAUUUUUGUGUCCGGUCAAAAGCCAUUUUUCAUCAGAAAAAAAGUUUAAAUAAUUUUUUUUGAGAGGCUCAUCUAGUCAAGUCUGAGCUCUGUUCCCAGUUUUGGUGCUCAUUUGAGUUGACUUUGCUGUUCUGUGGUUUUCCCUAUCUAUCAAAUGGGUUCAAUAUAGUGUAGUGUUCUAGUCCCAGCCCUGCCAUUUUCCGGUUGUAUGAUUUUUUUUUGUCACGUUACUUCAGUCCUCUUCACCUUUAUUUUCCCUUCCAUCCUUUAUUCAUCUUGUCUACAUAAAUUCUAAGUGAUUUGGUGCAGUGACUGACUCUUGCUAUUUGUAUAUUGUAGCCUGGUUAGGUUGGGUCCUCUAGAUGCUACUCAUAAUAAUAAUAAAGUGUUAUUAUUUGUAAUAACUUAUCUGUAGCCUUUUUACAUGGGAGCUGAAAUAUGGUGGACCCUUGGAUCCUGGCACUUAUUUAAUUCCAGUAGCUCUUUACACAUGCAAAGCAUCUAUCAUGCCAUGCCUCAUGCAACUUCAGUGAUGCCACCAUUGCUUUUCAAGGUCCAGUUUAAACUAUCCAUCUUUGACUUGCUCUAGCUGUCUCACAUAUCUUGUGUGAAAUCAUGGCCCCAUUGAAGUCAAUGAGAGUUUUGCCAUGGACUUCAAAGGAGCUAGGAUUUCACCCCUUGCGUUUUUCUGCCCACCUCCCUGCUCAUUCUGCUUAACCUGGACUGGCCUUCUUGCUUCAUCUGUCCCCAGCCAUACUGCUUUGGUUCCUACUGCAGCUUGCUCUCUCUGGUAGGGGCUUUCUCUAGUUCUCUGUCUCAUCAGCUCUCCAUCUCAGUUCAAGUCCCAUCU